This 240-nucleotide unclassified non-coding RNA is filed under the name uncultured Basidiomycota. RNAcentral's name for it is "sequence contains ITS2". The record is from RNAcentral. Lineage: Eukaryota; Fungi; Basidiomycota.
AGCAAUCACCACCUCCCGUUUCUUGUGGGUGCGUGUUGGAUGUGGGGGCCCUUGCCGCCUCGUCUUGAGAGGCCGCUCCCCUCAAAUGCGUUGGGUCGGGGCCUGUGGGUGCAAACUCGACAAAGAAAAAAUGGGGGUGUUGUACCAACCUCACUCCCUGGACUUUUCGAGGCCCCACUGCUGGCGCCCCCUCCCCCCGGACCCAGCCCUUUGGAAGUGGCGGGUCAAAGCUUUUUUGAA